GAUGAACGCUGGCGGCGUGCCUAAUACAUGCAAGUCGAGCGAACAGACGAGGAGCUUGCUCCUCUGACGUUAGCGGCGGACGGGUGAGUAACACGUGGAUAACCUACCUAUAAGACUGGGAUAACUUGGGAAACCGGGGCUAAUACCGGAUAACAUGUUGAACCGCAUGGGUCCACAGUGAAAGGCGGUUUUGCUGUCACUUAUAAGUUGGUCCGCGCCGCAUUAGCUAGUUGGUAAGGUAACGGCUUACCAAGGCAACGAUGCGUAGCCGACCUGAGAGGGUGAUCGGCCACACUGGAACUGAGACACGGUCCAGACUCCUACGGGAGGCAGCAGUAGGGAAUCUUCCGCAAUGGGCGAAAGCCUGACGGAGCAACGCCGCGUGAGUGAAGAAGGUCUUCGGAUCGUAAAACUCUGUUAUUAGGGAAGAACAAAUGUGUAAGUAACUAUGCACGUCUUGACGGUACCUAAUCAGAAAGCCACGGCUAACUACGUG
Molecule: ribosomal RNA, 496 nt
Filed under: uncultured bacterium
Lineage: Bacteria
Description: partial 16S ribosomal RNA
Rfam family: Bacterial small subunit ribosomal RNA
Source: RNAcentral